This 253-nucleotide ribosomal RNA is filed under the name uncultured bacterium. RNAcentral's name for it is "partial 16S ribosomal RNA". It matches the Rfam family "Bacterial small subunit ribosomal RNA", at positions 524 to 776 of the family's 1533-position model. The record is from RNAcentral.
UACGUAGGGUGCAAGCGUUGUCCGGAAUUAUUGGGCGUAAAGAGCUCGUAGGCGGUUCGUCGCGUCGGCUGUGAAAACCCGAGGCUCAACCUCGGGCCUGCAGUCGAUACGGGCGGACUGGAGUUCGGCAGGGGAGACUGGAAUUCCUGGUGUAGCGGUGAAAUGCGUAGAUAUCAGGAGGAAUACCGGUGGCGAAAGCGACUCUCUGGACGGCAACUGACGCUGAGGCACGAAAGCGUGGGGAGCAAACAGG